Molecule: ribosomal RNA, 460 nt
Filed under: uncultured bacterium
Lineage: Bacteria
Description: partial 16S ribosomal RNA
Rfam family: Bacterial small subunit ribosomal RNA
Source: RNAcentral
CCUACGGGGGGCAGCAGUGAGGAAUAUUGGUCAAUGGGCUUACGCCUGAACCAGCCAAGUCGCGUGAGGGAAGACUGCCCUAUGGGUUGUAAACCUCUUUUGUCAGGGAGCAAUUGGCGCUACGUGUAGCGUUAUCGAGAGUACCUGAAGAAAAAGCAUCGGAUAACUCCGUGCCAGCAGCCGCGGUAAUACGGAGGAUGCGAGCGUUAUCCGGAUUUAUUGGGUUUAAAGGGUGCGUAGGCGGAAUGCCAAGUCAGCGGGAAAAUCGCGGGGCUCAACCUCGCUCCGCCGUUGAAACUGGCGUUCUUGAGUGGGCGAGAAGUAUGCGGAAUGCGUGGUGUAGCGGUGAAAUGCAUAGAUAUCACGCAGAACUCCGAUUGCGAAGGCAGCAUACCGGCGCCCAACUGACGCUGAAGCACGAAAGCGUGGGUAUCGAACAGGAUUAGAUACCCCAGUAGUC